This 2463-nucleotide long non-coding RNA is filed under the name Vigna radiata. RNAcentral's name for it is "long non-coding RNA (VRAD_LNC011638)". Lineage: Eukaryota; Viridiplantae; Streptophyta; Magnoliopsida; Fabales; Fabaceae. The record is from RNAcentral.
AGCAUUGGGUAAAGUUCUAAAAAUAAAACUUUUAUAAAAACACUUCAUUCUAAGUUUCAGCCCAUUCCUCCACCCUCCAGACAAACACACCUCUCNUUCUUCUUCUUCCCUUCAUUCCUCUACCUUCCAUCAACCAUAACUCAGAAUCUAACUGUUUGUUUCUCAAAUUGAAGCUACCUAAGCAUUCACGACUCCAAGAGCUACGUUUCUACCGAUUNAUUUUCCGUUUCCUCCAACGGGUAAGAAAACCCCUUUCUCUAUUUUUCCCUAGGGUUGUAAGCACGUGAUUUCUUACAACAAGNUGUCCAUUUCGUUCUAUUCCAUAAUCUAGCUUCUAAUUGGUUCUAAAAUUCGUUCUCCAUCAUCAAUUGAUGAUUUAUAGGUGAUUCUAACAUUUUGGGAGUGUAAGAAAGUGGUCUAGAGUUCUUACUUGAGCUUGGUUGUCUACACUAGAGGUAAGGGGAGCUAGUUCUACUUUUCAUUUUAGUUGUAUGAUGUGAAUGCAUGAUAAUUUUGAAAUGGUAUGUUGUUGAAGGCAUGAAAUUGGUUCUAUUGACUUGAAAUGCAUGUAUAUGGAAGUGGGUGUGUUAUGUGAAUUUGGUGAUUGAUGGCUAUGAACUGUUUGGAAUGAUUUUGAAUGAUGAAUUAUUUAUGUUGGGACUACUUUGGUGUGAAAAAUCUGUUGUGGUAUUGUUAGGAAGAAAAAUCAAGUGUCUUAGUGUCAAUUUUAGGUCAUUUAGAGGAAGUGAGGUAGUGAUUUUGAGCAAAUGAGGUCUGUCACGUUUUUGGACUGUUGAGGCAGCUUAGGCAAGUUAAUUAUAACUUAUUAGAACUAUAAAAUUGGUUAAAAUGAGGUUCUAAAUGGUAGAAGUGGANUUGAGUCCUUAGGUUNAGGAAAACUAGUGUUUUGAGUGAAUUUAGAGGAAGUUGGAGGGUGUUUUUGAGUAAUUGAGGUCUAGGGUGUAAGUGGGCAGUGGGGACAGUUUGAUUAAGUCAAUUAUGACUUNUUAGAAGUUUUAAAAGUGGUAAAAACAUUGCUUAANUGGUAGAAUUAGAAUUGGGCACAUGUGUUGAUGAAAUUGAGUAAUUUGAAUGUAGAUUGAUGUGAAAUCACUAGAGAAUUGGUUUAGNAAGUNUUAAAGUUGGUUAGGCAAGUUAGAUUCAUCAUAUAGAUCAAGUUAGGAGUGCNAGAAAUCCACCAAAAGGCCUAAAAUGAAACNUAAGGGUGUGAGUUUGAAAAAUCUGCAGAAAAAUCUNCAGAAUUNACGCUCGGGCGCCCCUGAAGGGCGCUGGGGNGCCAUUUUCUGCUGUCGUGUUUGUUUUUGAUAGUUUGNGNGGUUCCGGACGUCCGNUUUGGACGUUCUUUAGGUCGUUCUGGGGGUUUUUGACCCUUCCNNNGCCAUUGGUGAGGUUCUCAAGGCUGUUUGAAUUACUUAAGUAUUGAUAAUUAAAGGUCCUAAAGANAUUUGUGUUAAUAAGUGUUGGUUUUGUGAAAGUAUGUAAUGUAUGAGUUGUUUUUAUGACAUGGUUGAUGUUGUACGAUGGUGUAUGGGUUUGGUAUGAGACAAUAUAGUAAGAAUGCACUUGAAUGACUAUGAAAUUUUACGUUUGAUGAAUCAAAGUGGUUUAUGAGGUACAUUAUUGAUUCAAGAGGAAUAUCAUAUGAUUUAAAGUGNUCGGAUUGAAUACGAAAUUAAGAUCUCUCGGUGAGAUCAAUUAGUGUAUUGAAUGUAUGUAAGAGGCUUCCACUAUGAGGGGUUAUCCCUAACACUCUAACNGUCUUUCAUUCUCACUUAGAGAGGAUUGACGCGUGUGGUGAGAGUAGUGGGAGGUCCUAGGGUAGGUGCUAUCANUGGAGGUCUAUUCCNNGGUAACGGACCAGCCUUGUGUGUGGUCGGGUGAAACCCCUCGGCAAUGGCUUUGCAAAGCAGUAGAGGCCACCACAAGUGCACAACCCGCCCCANCUCUAUAUACAUUNUAUGUCCGGACGUGUCUAAAAGUCUUAACCUGAUAUGNUGUUGGUUUCAAUGAGUUUUGUGAAAUAAAAUGUUUGUGUUAUGAUGACUUACAUGUUUAAGUGUGUAUGANCGUUCUUGCAAUGAAUUGUAUGAUUGUUUGAGACCUAGCUCACCCUUGCAUUGUAUGUGUUGCAUGUGCUUACCUUCCCCCUUGCGAUGAUCAUCCAAUCCUUUGGAUGUGAGCAGUAGGUGAUGAUGUACCAUUGGAGCAAGCGUUGGAGAUUGAAGAAGACCCAACCCUAAUACUUAGGACGUUUAUUAGUUCCUAUUUCAAUAGUUUGUUAUUUUUGGAAACACNCUCUAGGCAUCCNUGGAUCUUUAGUUUAUUAUGUAUUUUGGAGAACAUUGGGGAACUUGUACUCAAGUUUUAAUUUCCUUCUAAUUUCCACUAAAUUUUUGGAUGACUGUAUAAAUAUUUAAAUACUGUCAUCUUUAUCUCUUAACU